UACGUAUGGAGCAAGCGUUAUCCGGAUUUACUGGGUGUAAAGGGAGCGCAGGCGGUCUGGCAAGUCUGAUGUGAAAGGCCGGGGCUCAACCCCGGGACUGCAUUGGAAACUGUCAGACUGGAGUGUCGGAGAGGUAAGCGGAAUUCCUAGUGUAGCGGUGAAAUGCGUAGAUAUUAGGAGGAACACCAGUGGCGAAGGCGGCUUACUGGACGAUGACUGACGCUGAGGCUCGGAAGCGUGGGGAGCAAACAGG
Molecule: ribosomal RNA, 253 nt
Filed under: uncultured bacterium
Lineage: Bacteria
Description: partial 16S ribosomal RNA
Rfam family: Bacterial small subunit ribosomal RNA
Source: RNAcentral